AUGAUGAAGGAAGCAUCAUCAGAGAUCCGGUCUUCGUACAAUUGCAAUAGAGAUGGAAGCUUAGAUGGAAAGUUGCGAUGGAGACCUAUAUGUGGUUGUGGAGAAUCUGCGGUUCUUCGAAGGGCUACCACUGUCACAAACUUUGGGAAGCAAUUCUGGGAUUGUCGUCAUUACAAGGAAAAAAAGAAGAAUUUGAUUGUCUCCGAAACACCGACGUCGAAGCAGCUUCUCUCUGGAGAGACAAACCAAGCCACACAUUCAACCGCUACGAUGCAAAUCUGGCCAUCACCAUUAAUAACAACCUGA
Vicia faba (fava bean) is the source of this 306-nucleotide non-coding RNA. The record is from the annotation of a GenBank genome assembly. Lineage: Eukaryota; Viridiplantae; Streptophyta; Magnoliopsida; Fabales; Fabaceae.